UGGGGAAUAUUGCACAAUGGGCGCAAGCCUGAUGCAGCAACGCCGCGUGAGGGACGACGGCCUUCGGGUUGUAAACCUCUUUUAGUAGGGAAGAAGCGAAAGUGACGGUACCUGCAGAAAAAGCACCGGCUAACUACGUGCCAGCAGCCGCGGUAAUACGUAGGGUGCGAGCGUUGUCCGGAAUUAUUGGGCGCAAAGAGCUCGUAGGCGGUCUGUCGCGUCUGCUGUGAAAACCCGAGGCUCAACCUCGGGCCUGCAGUGGGUACGGGCAGACUAGAGUGCGGUAGGGGAGAAUGGAAUUCCUGGUGUAGCGGUGGAAUGCGCAGAUAUCAGGAGGAACACCGAUGGCGAAGGCAGUUCUCUGGGCCGUAACUGACGCUGAGGAGCGAAAGCGUGGGGAGCGAACAGGAUUAGAUACCCUGGUAGUCCACGCCGUAAACGUUGGGCGCUAGAUGUGGGGACCAUUCCACGGGUUUCCGUGUCGGCAGCUAACGCAUUAAGCGCCCCGCCUGGGGAGUACGGCCGCAAGGCUAAAACU
RNAcentral lists this ribosomal RNA (538 nucleotides) under uncultured bacterium. RNAcentral's name for it is "partial 16S ribosomal RNA". It matches the Rfam family "Bacterial small subunit ribosomal RNA", at positions 355 to 901 of the family's 1533-position model. The record is from RNAcentral.